This is a small nucleolar RNA of Phascolarctos cinereus (koala), 151 nucleotides long. Lineage: Eukaryota; Metazoa; Chordata; Mammalia; Diprotodontia; Phascolarctidae. The record is from Ensembl.
CAGUGUGGUAGUUUUCUUUCUGGCCAGUUUGUUAAGUGUCAAAUAGGCCUGACUCUGCCACAUAGAUAACACAGGAGCGAGCAGUCUUGGGCAUGGGCAGGCCAUGUCUGAGCCUCUCCCCACUUCAGAGAUUACUGUAGCUCCCACAUGC